Molecule: non-coding RNA, 647 nt
Organism: Oryctolagus cuniculus (rabbit)
Lineage: Eukaryota; Metazoa; Chordata; Mammalia; Lagomorpha; Leporidae
Source: RefSeq, a predicted model, not a curated record
CAAGACCGGUGCUGUAAGCAACAGAGAGGUGGGCUGCCAAGCGCGGCCCGGGCAGCGGGACUCCCACAGGUGGCUCGGGCUGUGUGUCUGGACGCUCGCUUUCCUGCCAAUCAGGUCCCAUGGUCUUAGUUCUUCACCUGGAUUUGGGCUGUGUGUGGAUUACCCUCCCAAGACACUGGUGCCUGGCAAGCCAGCCAGCCAGCUUCAGAGAAGCGGACGACAGGUGAGACAGGCGACACUGGCGAGACACUCACCGAGGGCUGGAGUACCUUUCACCUCUGAGCUUCAGAGCGACAACACCCCAUCUUCAUGAGCAGCCUGGGCGAGGUCCAAAUCCCAAGAUUUUCAGGGACCAGCGCUGUGGCUUAGUAACUUAAGCCUCCACCAGGGGCGCCAGCAUCCCAUAUGGGCACCGGUUCGAGUCCCAGCUGCUCCUCUUCCGAUCCAGCUCUCUGCUAUGGCCUGGGGAAAGCGGCAGAAGAUGGCCCAAGUCCUUGGGCCCCUGCGCCCAUGUUGGAGACCCGGAAGAAGCUCCUGGCUCUUGGCUCCAGAUCAGCCCAGCUCCAGCAGCAGUGGCUAUUUGGAGAGUGAACCAGCGGAUGGAAGACCUCUCUACUCUGCCUCUCAAAUAAAUAAAUAAAUCUUAA